GGCGGCUCCAGGAUUUCCUGACAGCUGAGAGAGGAGGAGGAGAGGGAGGUUGCCCAACCGAAUUGGGAAGAGCCUGGUGGGGGUGAUUGACAGGCCGCAGGAAGGUACCCGGCACCCGACCCCGGGAUGGGACCUUCGGAUCCGACUCCCCACGCGAGCUCGGCAGAAAGCAGGACGACCUGUUGCUUUCUUUCCCUUCCCAUUUGCCUCUUUGGAGUUUCUUUGGCCGGUUUUUUGGGUGUUUAUUGUUGUUGUUUUUUGAUGAGUCAAAAAACUAAAAAAAAACAAAAACAAAAAUUUCAGUCAAAAGAAAGAGCAAAGUCAAGGUGAAAUGAAUCAAAAAAGAGGAAGCUGAGGAAACAAAAAAGAAAGUCAGGCUGUUUAACUGCAGUAAAGUCAAGGAGGAAAAGGCAGAUGAAAGACUUGUUUUAAAACAAUAUUUCGGUGAAUGGGAAGAACUCUACAAUUUCAGUUCAUCCUAUCAACCAAAUAUAAGAUGAGAAAACUGAGAUUCAGAGAAGGAAGGAAAACUUCCCCAAGGAUCCACAGCUGCUAUUCUUAAGACUCAUCCUUGGGAAACAUCAUUAGCUAAAAAGAGAAAAAAACUUUGAAGAGCUGGAGCACUCUAGCUUAAUGAAGUAGAUCAUAAUUGGAAUAUUUUUAACAUAAUUGGAAUAUUUUUUGAGAUUACCAAAAUUUUCAAGAUACGCUGGAUAAAACUCAUGGGCAAAAUCUUUAUGCUUUCUUUCAGAUUUGGUAUGUAUUGUUCAAAGUAGUUAAAAUCUAUUUUAUCAAGUCAAGUCAUAUUGUGAGAUAUUUAUUUAAAUCUCCACUCGUUUCAUCUUAUAAAAUGACUAUAUUUUCUAUCUUCUAUUAAUAAAAAGUAAAAGUAAAUGCGAGCCAGACUUGUUAGUUUUGGCUAUAGAGAAGUUUCUCUGUUUAGAUACAGGAUAAGUUUGUUUGAUAAUGAUAGCUAGUAAAAUUAAUAGAGUUCCUUGUGGUUUUACACAUUCUUUAUUUAUUCAAAUGACCAAGCAUCAGAGUUUGAUACAUGUAUACAUAGAUUUAACAAGGAAAUAUUUCU
This is a long non-coding RNA of Cervus elaphus (red deer), 1084 nucleotides long. RefSeq lists it as uncharacterized. The transcript is spliced from 4 exons. Lineage: Eukaryota; Metazoa; Chordata; Mammalia; Artiodactyla; Cervidae. The record is from RefSeq and is a predicted model, not a curated record.